RNAcentral lists this ribosomal RNA (520 nucleotides) under uncultured Glomus. RNAcentral describes it as "SSU rRNA". It matches the Rfam family "Eukaryotic small subunit ribosomal RNA", at positions 569 to 1091 of the family's 1831-position model. The record is from RNAcentral. Lineage: Eukaryota; Fungi; Glomeromycota; Glomeromycetes; Glomerales; Glomeraceae.
AGUAGCCGCGGUAAUUCCAGCUCCAAUAGCGUAUAUUAAAGUUGUUGCAGUUAAAAAGCUCGUAGUUGAAUUUCGGGAUCAGUUGGUCGGUCGUGCCUCGGUACGUACUGGUCAAAUUGAUUCCUACCUUCUGACGAACCACGAUGUCAUUAAUUUGGUGUCGCGGGAAAUCAGGACUGUUACUUUGAAAAAAAUUAGAGUGUUUAAAGCAGGCUCGCGCUUGAAUACAUUAGCAUGGAAUAAUGAAAUAGGACGUUUGAUUCUAUUUUGUUGGUUUCUAGGAUCGACGUAAUGAUUAAUAGGGAUAGUUGGGGGCAUUAGUAUUCAAUUGUCAGAGGUGAAAUUCUUGGAUUUAUUGAAGACUAACUACUGCGAAAGCAUUUGCCAAGGAUGUUUUCAUUAAUCAAGAACGAAAGUUAGGGGAUCGAAGACGAUCAGAUACCGUCGUAGUCUUAACCAUAAACUAUGCCGACUAGGGAUCGGAUGAUGUUAAUUUUUAAUGACUCAUUCGGCGCCUUAC